AGUGAACGCUGGCGGUAGGCCUAACACAUGCAAGUCGAACGGCAGCACAGUAAGAGCUUGCUCUUACGGGUGGCGAGUGGCGGACGGGUGAGGAAUACAUCGGAAUCUACUUUUUCGUGGGGGAUAACGUAGGGAAACUUACGCUAAUACCGCAUACGACCUACGGGUGAAAGCAGGGGAUUUUCGGAUCUUGCGCGAUUGAAUGCGCCGAUGUCGGAUUAGCUAGUUGGGGGGGUAAAGGCCCACCAAGGCGACGAUCCGUAGCUGGUCUGAGAGGAUGAUCAGCCACACUGGAGCUGGGACACGGUCCAGACUCCUACGGGAGGCAGCAGUGGGGAAUAUUGGACAAUGGGCGCAAGCCUGAUCCAGCCAUACCGCGUGGGUGGAGAAGACCUUCGGGUUGUAAAGCCCUUUUGUUGGGAAAGAAAAGCAGCAGGUUAAUACGCCGCUGUUCUGACGGUACCCAAAGAAUAAGCGCCGGCUAACUACGUG
This 492-nucleotide ribosomal RNA is filed under the name uncultured bacterium. Its description in RNAcentral is "partial 16S ribosomal RNA". It matches the Rfam family "Bacterial small subunit ribosomal RNA", at positions 29 to 507 of the family's 1533-position model. The record is from RNAcentral.